RNAcentral lists this ribosomal RNA (292 nucleotides) under uncultured bacterium. RNAcentral describes it as "partial 16S ribosomal RNA". It matches the Rfam family "Bacterial small subunit ribosomal RNA", at positions 505 to 796 of the family's 1533-position model. The record is from RNAcentral.
GUGCCAGCAGCCGCGGUAAUACAGAGGGUGCGAGCGUUAAUCGGAUUUACUGGGCGUAAAGGGUGCGUAGGCGGUUCUAUGAGUGUGAUGUGAAAGCCCUGGGCUCAACCUAGGAAGUGCAUCGCAAACGAUAGAACUGGAGUAUGUGAGAGGGUGGCGGAAUUUCCGGUGUAGCGGUGAAAUGCGUAGAUAUCGGAAGGAACGUCGAUGGCGAAGGCAGCCACCUGGCACAAUACUGACGCUGAGGCACGAAAGCGUGGGGAUCAAACAGGAUUAGAAACCCCCGUAGUCC